RNAcentral lists this unclassified non-coding RNA (400 nucleotides) under soil metagenome. RNAcentral's name for it is "partial contains 5.8S ribosomal RNA, internal transcribed spacer 2, and large subunit ribosomal RNA". The stretch from base 1 to 120 matches the Rfam family "5.8S ribosomal RNA", at positions 35 to 154 of the family's 154-position model. The record is from RNAcentral.
GAUGAAGAACGUAGCGAAAUGCGAUACUUGGUGUGAAUUGCAGAAUCCCGUGAACCAUCGAGUCUUUGAACGCAAGUUGCGCCCGAAGCCUCGGCUAAGGGCACGUCUGCCUGGGCGUCACGCAUCGCGUCUCCCCCAAACCGCCAAGGCGGAGGGGAAGGAAGAUGGCUUCCCGUGCCUCACCCGGGCGCGGUUGGCCUAAAUUUGGAGCCCGCGGCACUUAGCUCUCGCGGCGAUAGGUGGUGAACAAGGCCUUGGCCGUGCAAACAACCCGCUGCGAAGCUCUAUGUCACGUGCGCUCGUCGGACCCUUUGAAGUUGCCUUCGGUGACUUAAAACCUUUGCGACCCCAGGUCAGGCGGGGCUACCCGCUGAAUUUAAGCAUAUCAAUAAGCGGAGGA